Molecule: ribosomal RNA, 434 nt
Filed under: uncultured bacterium
Lineage: Bacteria
Description: partial 16S ribosomal RNA
Rfam family: Bacterial small subunit ribosomal RNA
Source: RNAcentral
AGCGAACGCUGGCGGCAGGCCUAACACAUGCCAGUCGAACGAACCUUUCGGGGUUAGUGGCGGACGGGUGAGUAACACGUGGGAACGUGCCUUUAGGUUCGGAAUAACUCAGGGAAACUUGUGCUAAUACCGAAUGUGCCCUUCGGGGGAAAGAUUUAUCGCCUUUAGAGCGGCCCGCGUCUGAUUAGCUAGUUGGUUGAGGUAAUGGCUCACCAAGGCGACGAUCAGUAGCUGGUCUGAGAGGAUGAUCAGCCACAUUGGGACUGAGACACGGCCCAAACUCCUACGGGAGGCAGCAGUGGGGAAUCUUGCGCAAUGGGCGAAAGCCUGACGCAGCCAUGCCGCGUGAAUGAUGAAGGUCUUAGGAUUGUAAAAUUCUUUCACCGGGGACGAUAAUGACGGUACCCGGAGAAGAAGCCCUGGCUAACUUCGUG